Molecule: ribosomal RNA, 497 nt
Filed under: uncultured bacterium
Lineage: Bacteria
Description: partial 16S ribosomal RNA
Rfam family: Bacterial small subunit ribosomal RNA
Source: RNAcentral
GAUGAACGCUGGCGGCGUGCCUAAUACAUGCAAGUCGAGCGAACAGACGAGGAGCUUGCUCCUCUGACGUUAGCGGCGGACGGGUGAGUAACACGUGGAUAACCUACCUAUAAGACUGGGAUAACUUCGGGAAACCGGAGCUAAUACCGGAUAAUAUAUUGAACCGCAUGGUUCAAUAGUGAAAGACGGUUUUGCUGUCACUUAUAGAUGGAUCCGCGCCGCAUUAGCUAGUUGGUAAGGUAACGGCUUAGCAAGGCAACGAUGCGUAGCCGACCUGAGAGGGUGAUCGGCCACACUGGAACUGAGACACGGUCCAGACUCCUACGGGAGGCAGCAGUAGGGAAUCUUCCGCAAUGGGCGAAAGCCUGACGGAGCAACGCCGCGUGAGUGAUGAAGGUCUUCGGAUCGUAAAACUCUGUUAUUAGGGAAGAACAAAUGUGUAAGUAACUAUGCACGUCUUGACGGUACCUAAUCAGAAAGCCACGGCUAACUACGUG